CCUACGGGUGGCAGCAGUGAGGAAUAUUGGUCAAUAGACUAGAGUCUGAACCAGCCAAGUAGCGUGAAGGAUGACUGCCCUAUGGGUUGUAAACUUCUUUUAUAUGGGAAUAAAACGUUCCACGUGUGGGAUUUUGUAUGUACCAUAUGAAUAAGGAUCGGCGAACUCCGUGCCAGCAGCCGCGGUAAUACUGAGGAUCCGAGCGUUAUCCGGAUUUAUUGGGUUUAAAGGGAGCGUAGGUGGAUUGUUAAGUCAGUUGUGAAAGUUUGCGGCUCAACCGUAAAAUUGCAGUUGAAACUGGCAGUCUUGAGUACAGUAGAGGUGGGCGGAAUUCGUGGUGUAGCGGUGAAAUGCUUAGAUAUCACGAAGAACUCCGAUUGCGAAGGCAGUUCACUGGACUGCAACUGACACUGAGGCUCGAAAGUGUGGGUAUCAAACAGGAUUAGAUACCCUUGUAGUC
RNAcentral lists this ribosomal RNA (460 nucleotides) under uncultured bacterium. RNAcentral describes it as "partial 16S ribosomal RNA". It matches the Rfam family "Bacterial small subunit ribosomal RNA", at positions 338 to 795 of the family's 1533-position model. The record is from RNAcentral.